This 319-nucleotide long non-coding RNA is filed under the name Zonotrichia albicollis (white-throated sparrow). RNAcentral describes it as "lncRNA (ENSZALG00000008272.1)". Lineage: Eukaryota; Metazoa; Chordata; Aves; Passeriformes; Passerellidae. The record is from RNAcentral.
AUGUCAGUCUCAGGAGUUUGGAGGUUCUGCUCGUGAGCAUGCCAGGACAAAGAGCAUUCACUGUAAGCAGGGACCAGCAUCAUUUACCCUGACUGAGCAGAGAUCAAAGUGCUGCCUGCCCACCCACUAGCAAAGCAGAGAGGUACAGUAGGACCCAAAAAUGUUUAAAAGAAGAAAACUGCCCUUGACAAGCCAACCAACAUUGGAUGUUUCAUGCAAGAGUUAUUUGAAAGGGAAACUUACAGACGUGAAGCACACGAGGUCUUCAAAAGGGUUCUUGAGAUUUUUUGAUGAACCAGAUCUUUAUCAUUUGCCCUGA